Molecule: unclassified non-coding RNA, 3915 nt
Filed under: Trichogramma pretiosum
Lineage: Eukaryota; Metazoa; Arthropoda; Insecta; Hymenoptera; Trichogrammatidae
Description: fH1/FH2 domain-containing protein 3, transcript variant X3
Source: RNAcentral
UACAUGGCACUCGAUCGAAAAUGAAGAUUGACGCCUGCACUUGGGACAAGAUGCCUCCCUACUGCCGAAAGAACUCGAUCGUUCUCAGGACUCAGCUAUGUGUGCGCGUUCACACUAUCAUAGAAAAAUUGCUGAACAGCGAAGGCCGCGAACUGCGCAGGGCCCUCUUUUCCCUCAAGCAAAUCUUUCAGGAGGACAAGGACCUAGUUCACGAGUUCGUGCAGAAUGACGGGCUGGCGUGUCUCAUCAAGGUUGGCAACGACGCCGACCAAAAUUACCAAAAUUACAUACUUCGAGCCCUGGGACAGGUGAUGCUGUACGUCGACGGCAUGAAUGGCGUGAUGGAGCACGCCCAGACGGUCCAGUGGCUCUACACCCUCAUCGCGUCGCGCUUCCGUCUCGUCGUCAAGACGGCCCUCAAGCUCCUGCUGGUCUUCGUCGAGUACGUCGAAACCAACUCGCUGCUCCUCGUGCGGGCCAUACGCUCGGUGGACCAGUCCCGAGGCAUGAUACCCUGGACCAACGUGAUGAAGCUGCUGACGGACUACGACGCCGCCGACACGGAGCUGCUGAUCUACGCCAUGACUCUCAUCAACAAGUGCCUCAAUGGGAUACCCGAUCAGGACACGUAUUACGAUCAGGUGGACUGUCUGGAGGAGCAGGGCAUCGAGGCGAUAAUACAGCGCUACAUGGGCAAGCAGGGUACGGAUCUGGAUCUGCUGAGGCAGUUUCAGAUCUACGAGGCGGUGCUGUACCACGAGGACGGCAACGAUCGAGACUCGCCCAUCAGACAGCUCGACGACAACAUCAGGAAAACGCUACGCAACCGCAAAUCCCUGGCGGACUCGCACGAGCGUCGCAAGUCGCGCAGACACUCCACGGGCACGUCGCCGCUCUCGGCGAUGCUGCUGCUGAACAACGGCUGCUCGGCCGCCGGCUCGAGUCCGAGACAGCUGCAGGCCAGCAACGGUGGCGGCGUUGGCGGCAAUAAUGGCCAGCUGCCUGUCUCCGUCGUCGUCGACAACAACAACAGAAACGGCCACCACCACCACCUACACAACCACCAUCAGCAUCAGCAUCAUCACCAAGCGAACAACGAAGACGACGACGGCGAGUCGAGCAGCUCGCAGAGCAGCCAAGGCAUCGGCGACGUUUCCACCAUCAACGGCGGUGGCACGUACAAGGACAAAAAUGCUCUGGACGUGGGAGUGACGCCGGCCUUGAGGCGUCGACGCGAACGAGCCGAGAGACAGAGGAGCUUCAUCAGGGAGCAGCAGGAGGCAACCGCCAACAUGAGGGCAUCGACCAACGGACACGCCGACGAUGAGAGUACGUUCAACGGUGGCGUGCGCUACACGAACGGCACGACGAUCGAGUCGUCGAACAAAUUGUCCGGGCGACAGGUCGUGCUGACGGGACACAACAAGCCCGACCUGAUGACGCCGCUGAUGAACGCCGCCAACAAGCUCGACAGCGAGGAGAAGCAGAAGCAGCAGUGGUACGGCAAGAGCCCCGACGAGGGCGUCGAGUGCGACGAGGGCAAUCACACGGACGAGGAGGACGAGUCGGAUCGUCGCGUCAUGCUCCAGUUGAAGCGCGAGAACACCGUCAAAGAUCUCACGCAGAAAUUGGCGGCGGCCCAGCAGCAGAGCAGCCUCAUACAGUCGCAGAACGGCGCGGCCGAGGAGAAGAUCUCCAGGAUAGGCGACGUGAGCGGCCUGAUCUCCAAGGCGAAGGAGGGCCUGGCCAAGUCCAAGUCCAAGGCGGACGUGCUCAAGUCGCCGACCCAAUCGGCUGUCAAUGAAGUAGCCAACGCCACAGCUGCCGCGACGACGAAACUACCCGAGGUCAAAAAGUCCGAGAACGAGCUGCACUGGGAGGAGCUGGUGAACAGCUUCAAGGGCGAGCUGAUCUCGUGCGGCUGCGACUUCACGGAUCUCAGCGCCGAGGACGACAUCGGCCUGCUCGGGCCGGUGCAGACGAGCAACGGGGUGCCGCCGCCCCCGCCACCCCCCAUGCAGCCCGGUGCUGGUGGUGGUGCAGGUGGACGAGCCGUGCCGCCUCCUCCGCCGUGCCGAGCUCCGCCGCCGAUGCCCAGUGGCCCGCCACCCACACCGCCGAUGAUGUUCAACGCCAGCCAACUCAGACAGACGAGGUCGCAGUUGAUGAACGGAGGGGGUGGUGGCUACAACAACAACAUCAGUAGUAGCUACAAUCACAACUAUAAUAACACGAGCAGCGACAACACACCAAAGAGUCCACAGCAGCAGCAGCAACAGCAGCAGCAGACAGUCAGGAAGAACAAAAAAACUGUGAAAUUGUUCUGGAUGGAAACUGUCCAGGUUCCGCACGGAGAAAAUAUGAUCUGGAACGAGCUGACCAGGACGUCGGUCGACACGCAAAAGCUCGAGCAUCUGUUCGAGAGCAGAGCCAAGGAUCUCAUAACUAAGCAGAAGCAGCAAGAGCUGAAUAAGAACAAGGAGAUAAUCGUGCUGGAUCCCAAGCGCUCCAACGCCAUCAACAUCGGCAUGACCAAGCUUCCACCGCCGAGAUCCAUCAAGACGGCGAUCUUAAAGAUGGACGCGACCAUCGUGAACAGAGAGGGAAUCGAGAAACUGUUGACAAUGUUACCAACCGAGGAGGAGAGGUCGAAGAUACAGGAGGAGCAGGCCGCCCAUCCGGAUCUGCCUCUGGGCUCGGCCGAGCAAUUUUUACUGACGCUCGCGUCCAUCUCCGAAUUGCCGGCGAGACUGAAGCUCUGGGCGUUCAAGCUCGAUUUUGAAAAUUCCGAAAAGGAAAUCGCAGACCCCCUAAUGGAUUUGAAGCAGGGCAUGGAGACCCUGAAGAAGAAUAAUACCCUGCGCGGUAUUCUCAGCACGCUUCUCUCGAUCGGAAUAUUUCUCAACGGAAACGAGGUCAAAGGAUUUCAAUUGGAGUACUUGGCCAAGGUGCCGGAGGUCAAAGACACCGUGCACAAGCACUCGCUGCUGCACCAUCUCUGCCAUAUGGUGAUGGAGAAAUUUCCCGAUUCCACGGAUUUGUAUUCGGAGAUUGGAGCUGUGACCAGAGCAUCGAAAAUCGACUUCGACGAGCUGGCAUCGAACAUCGUCAAACUCGAGAGCGAAUGCAAAGCGUCCUGGGACCAUUUAAAACUAAUCGCCAAACACGAUGGAUCUACCAUGAUCAAGAACAAGAUGUCGGACUUCUUGACCGACUGCGCGCAGCGCAUCAUCGUCCUGGGCAUCGUGCAUCGUCGCAUCAUCAAUCGUUUCCACAAGUCCGUCAACUGGUUCGGCGUGCCGCUGCACCGGGUCGCGGACACUAAGCCCAACGAGUUCUGUCGGCUGAUCUCGGAGUUCGCCCUCGAGUACAGGACGACGCGCGAGCGCGUCCUCCAGCAGCUCGAGAAGAAGGCGAAUCAUCGGGAGAGAAACAAAACUCGAGGCAAAAUGAUAACGGAGGUUGGCAAAUUUAGGACGAAGGAAGAUCGAGCAGACGCGGAACUCAGGCAAUUACUGGGAAACGAUAUCUCCGACGUCGAGAGCAUCCAUGGCACGCUACCGUGGCGUAGAGCCCGCAAGGAUGGUCGCACAUCGCUCGGGCCGCUGAUCAGGGACGAGCGACAGAACGGAAAUCUUACGGACGGCGACGACGAGCUGCUGGAGUCGCUGGUGAAGACGGCCACGAAGACGCCCACGACGAGGACGACGCCGCGCGAGAGGAAGCGCACGCGACACGCCGAUCGUAAGUCUUAUGUGAAAAGAUCGCGUACGAGAGAGAACAUCGCAGCGCCGGAGGUUUAUCGUUCCUGAAAAGAAAGAGGGGAAAGAACCGAAAAUAAAAAAAAAAUCUAAAAAAAGAAAAAUCGGAGAAUCUUGACCUGCUGAUUUAAGUGCGUCGAACACUAAAGAACGG